Molecule: ribosomal RNA, 508 nt
Filed under: uncultured bacterium
Lineage: Bacteria
Description: bacterial SSU rRNA
Rfam family: Bacterial small subunit ribosomal RNA
Source: RNAcentral
AGAGUUUGAUUCUGGCUCAGGAUGAACGCUGGCGGCGUGCUUAACACAUGCAAGUCGAACGGAGUUUUAACGGAAGUUUCGGAUGGAAGUUUAGAAACUUAGUGGCGGACGGGUGAGUAACGCGUGGGUAACCUGCCUCAUACAGGGGGAUAACAGUUAGAAAUGACUGCUAACACCGCAUAAUAUAGCGAAACCGCAUGAUUUUGCUAUCAAAUAUUUAUAGGUAUGAGAUGGGCCCGCGUCUGAUUAGCUAGUUGGUGGGGUAAAAGCCUACCAAGGCGACGAUCAGUAGCCGGCUUGAGAGAGUGACCGGCCACAUUGGGACUGAGACACGGCCCAAACUCCUACGGGAGGCAGCAGUGGGGAAUAUUGGACAAUGGGGGAAACCCUGAUCCAGCGAACCGCCGCGUGAGUGAAGAAGUAUUUCGGUAUGUAAAGCUCUAUCAGCAGGGAAGAUAAUGACAGUACCUGACUAAGAAGCCCCGGCUAACUACGUGCCAGCAGCGGC